CGAACGGGUGAGUAAUAUAUCGGAACGUGCCCAGUCGUGGGGGAUAACGUAGCGAAAGUUACGCUAAUACCGCAUACGAUCUACGGAUGAAAGCGGGGGAUCGCAAGACCUCGCGCGAUUGGAGCGGCCGAUAUCAGAUUAGGUAGUUGGUGGGGUAAAGGCUCACCAAGCCAACGAUCUGUAGCUGGUCUGAGAGGACGACCAGCCACACUGGAACUGAGACACGGUCCAGACUCCUACGGGAGGCAGCAGUGGGGAAUUUUGGACAAUGGACGCAAGUCUGAUCCAGCCAUUCCGCGUGCAGGAUGAAGGCCCUCGGGUUGUAAACUGCUUUUGUACGGAACGAAAAGGUUUCCAUUAAUACUGGGAGCUCAUGACGGUACCGUAAGAAUAAGCACCGGCUAACUACGUGCCAGCAGCCGCGGUAAUACGUAGGGUGCAAGCGUUAAUCGGAAUUACUGGGCGUAAAGCGUGCGCAGGCGGUUAUGUAAGACAGAGGUGAAAUCCCCGGGCUCAACCUGGGAACUGCCUUUGUGACUGCAUAGCUAGAGUACGGUAGAGGGGGAUGGAAUUCCGCGUGUAGCAGUGAAAUGCGUAGAUAUGCGGAGGAACACCGAUGGCGAAAGCAAUCCCCUGGACCUGUACUGACGCUCAUGCACGAAAGCGUGGGGAGCAAACAGGAUUAGAUACCCUGGUAGUCCACGCCCUAAACGAUGUCAACUGGUUGUUGGGUCUUCACUGACUCAGUAACGAAGCUAACGCGUGAAGUUGACCGCCUGGGGAGUACGGCCGCAAGGUUGAAACUCAAGGAAUUGACGG
RNAcentral lists this ribosomal RNA (819 nucleotides) under uncultured beta proteobacterium. Its description in RNAcentral is "bacterial SSU rRNA". It matches the Rfam family "Bacterial small subunit ribosomal RNA", at positions 99 to 916 of the family's 1533-position model. Lineage: Bacteria; Pseudomonadati; Pseudomonadota; Betaproteobacteria. The record is from RNAcentral.